CAGGGUACAUUUAGCAGACUGUGAUGGUGACGGUCAGUCUGCUACCUGGGACCCUGUA
Gadus morhua (Atlantic cod) is the source of this 58-nucleotide microRNA precursor. NCBI's taxonomy places the organism in Eukaryota, Metazoa, Chordata, Actinopteri, Gadiformes, Gadidae. The record is from Ensembl.